RNAcentral lists this ribosomal RNA (119 nucleotides) under Kwoniella mangroviensis CBS 10435. The record is from RNAcentral. Lineage: Eukaryota; Fungi; Basidiomycota; Tremellomycetes; Tremellales; Cryptococcaceae.
AUCUACGGCCAUUGAAUCUAGAAAAUACUGCAUCUCGUUAGCUCUGCAAAGUCAUGCUAGAUAUUGCUCGAUUAGUACCAAGGUUGGGGACAACUUGGGAAUCCCGAGUGCCGUAGUUU